CUUCACCGAGCCGAGCCGGAGCGGCCGGUCGGCCGGGCGUUCCUGCCCGUACGUGGCGAGCAGCGCCUGCGCCUC
Micromonospora humi is the source of this 75-nucleotide non-coding RNA. Lineage: Bacteria; Bacillati; Actinomycetota; Actinomycetes; Micromonosporales; Micromonosporaceae. The record is from Rfam.